CCCCUCCCAGUGUCGCACCUGGAGAGUUUCCAGGACUCUACCAGUCAUGAUUACAGGAGGGAGAGUCAAUCAGAGGUAUAUCCAUUCCAUUCCUAGCUUGGACAGUGGCUUAUGAGUGGAAGGCAACCUGCUACAAGU
Tachyglossus aculeatus (Australian echidna) is the source of this 138-nucleotide small nucleolar RNA. The record is from RefSeq and is a predicted model, not a curated record. NCBI's taxonomy places the organism in Eukaryota, Metazoa, Chordata, Mammalia, Monotremata, Tachyglossidae.